Molecule: ribosomal RNA, 301 nt
Filed under: uncultured bacterium
Lineage: Bacteria
Description: partial 16S ribosomal RNA
Rfam family: Bacterial small subunit ribosomal RNA
Source: RNAcentral
CAGCCGCCGCGGGAACACGUAGGUGGCAAGCGUUGUCCGGAAUUAUUGGGUGUAAAGGGCUCGCAGGCGGUUUCUUAAGUCUGAUGUGAAAGCCCCCGGCUCAACCGGGGAGGGUCGUUGGAAACUGGGAAACUUGAGUGCAGAAGAGGAGAGUGGAAUUCCACGUGUAGCGGUGAAAUGCGUAGAGAUGUGGAGGAACACCAGUGGCGAAGGCGACUCUCUGGUCUGUAACUGACGCUGAGGAGCGAAAGCGUGGGGAGCGAACAGGAUUAGAUACCCCCGUAGUCCCUGUCUCUUAUAC